This 369-nucleotide ribosomal RNA is filed under the name uncultured organism. RNAcentral describes it as "bacterial SSU rRNA". It matches the Rfam family "Bacterial small subunit ribosomal RNA", at positions 526 to 896 of the family's 1533-position model. The record is from RNAcentral.
CGGAGGGUGCAAGCGUUAUCCGGAUUUAUUGGGUUUAAAGGGUCCGUAGGCGGGCCCAUAAGUCAGUGGUGAAAUCCUGCAGCUCAACUGUAGAACUGCCAUUGAUACUGUGGGCCUUGAAUUUGGUUGAAGUGGGCGGAAUAUGACAUGUAGCGGUGAAAUGCUUAGAUAUGUCACAGAACACCGAUUGCGAAGGCAGCUCACUAAGCCUGGAUUGACGCUGAUGGACGAAAGCGUGGGUAGCGAACAGGAUUAGAUACCCUGGUAGUCCACGCCGUAAACGAUGAUCACUCGACAUUAGCGAUAUACGGUUAGUGUCACAAGCGAAAGUAUUAAGUGAUCCACCUGGGGAGUACGACCGCAAGGUUG